CCGGCACAAGGGUUUAACCCAUUGCGCCAUUGCGACUCCUAAUAAUAAGACUGAUAAUCCAAAACAUCUGGAGAUCAUGAGUUUGGAAAUAAUGGUAUAUGUUGAAUGACAAUCACUCUCCAGCAUUCCAGCUAAAGGUUUUCCUAUUACUUGCUAAUAAUAAUUUAAAAUUUAAAUUUAAGUUUGCACUUGGGAUCUUCUGAAUACAAAGGAAGAACUGUCCCAAUGACUUCUGAUUUCUGCACCUUCACUACAAGAUUCUUAUAAUGAAGAGUUGCUUGAUAUAUAUUAUCUAUAUUACACCUUAAGGAUUUGAAUCUAGAAUAAAAGGAAGCUUACAAAUAAUCUAAGCAUAUGAAUGAAUUGAACCACAAUAAACAAUAUUAAAAUAUCACACUUCAUAUGUUUUGCAGACCCUGUGGGAGAAACGUAAUGCCCUUUGUCCCCACCAGAGCUUGACCCAGCGGAUAUUGGUGCCUGAGUCAAACAACAAAUGCAAUAUUUCCAUGCAUACAUCUGUCAAGUUUCAUCAUACAGAAAGGCAACCAAAUUACUUUGGUACAUGAGGCAAAACAUCUCAUGAGAAACUCCCUGCAAUCCUGACAGUAAAAUACAAUAAUAACAAGACCCCAGCUGUGGAUAGCUUCGAUGCUUCCCUAAUUGGGAGAGAUACUGAAAACAUUACUCCCGUGGUAGAACCAGAUGUCCCAAGUUCUCCAGGGAAUGUAUCCUUUAACAGAAGGGAGUUUCUGCAUCACCAGAGAUCAGAAAAACAAGGGCUUCGAAGGAGUCAACGUUUGACAUCUAGAGGGGAUAAUGGAUAGGAGAUUCCCUUGGGAACCUUUGGGGAGUUUGGUUUCCCUUCGCUGAGUUUAGAUCUAAGUUCCAUAAAAGUGUCCUACACUGUGAACAAUUUGCGGUGUCAACGUAGCUAUCUCCUGAGAACACUUCACUGACUCCAGUUCCCUGAUUUCACCAAGCCAAGACUCCUGUUCCUGGCGGCCAAGCCGAGCCGCGACUCCCGAUUUAAACCGGAGUAAAUUCACGUCCUUGCCUUGUUCCUGAAUCCAGAUUGCUUUUAGCUUCAUCUUGUUCCUGCCUUGAUAUCAAAGACUUCCUAGUGACUUUGGACCUUGUCAUUCACUCUUGCUUUCUUGUUGUUUCCCCGCUCAAGAACUUCACACCAGUUUUGAGCGUGUUUCGGUUUCUGGACUUUGGACAAUAAUAUUGGACAUAUCUCUUCAACUCAUUGGACUAAUUCAUACCUUAUCAUAAAGAACUAUCACUCACUCAUCCUUUCCACUUUUUCAUUCCUGAAUUUAGAAUUGUUUUAAUAAAGAUAUUAUAUCUAGUUUCCAGUGCUCACGCUGCCUUGGGGUGCAACAUUGCCUU
Molecule: long non-coding RNA, 1392 nt
Filed under: Anolis carolinensis (green anole)
Lineage: Eukaryota; Metazoa; Chordata; Lepidosauria; Squamata; Anolidae
Description: lncRNA (ENSACAG00000045562.1)
Source: RNAcentral